RNAcentral lists this ribosomal RNA (479 nucleotides) under uncultured bacterium. RNAcentral describes it as "partial 16S ribosomal RNA". It matches the Rfam family "Bacterial small subunit ribosomal RNA", at positions 28 to 507 of the family's 1533-position model. The record is from RNAcentral.
GAUGGACGCUGGCGGCGUGCUUAACACAUGCAAGUCGAACGAAGCACUUUAACCUGAUUCUUCGGAUGAAGGUUUUUGUGACUGAGUGGCGGACGGGUGAGUAACGCGUGGGUAACCUGCCUCAUACAGGGGGAUAACAGUUAGAAAUGACUGCUAAUACCGCAUAAGACCACAGAGCCGCAUGGCUCGGUGGGAAAAACUCCGGUGGUAUGAGAUGGACCCGCGUCUGAUUAGGUAGUUGGUGGGGUAACGGCCUACCAAGCCAACGAUCAGUAGCCGACCUGAGAGGGUGACCGGCCACAUUGGGACUGAGACACGGCCCAAACUCCUACGGGAGGCAGCAGUGGGGAAUAUUGCACAAUGGGGGAAACCCUGAUGCAGCGACGCCGCGUGAGCGAAGAAGUAUUUCGGUAUGUAAAGCUCUAUCAGCAGGGAAGAAAAUGACGGUACCUGACUAAGAAGCACCGGCUAAAUACGUG